RNAcentral lists this unclassified non-coding RNA (211 nucleotides) under plant metagenome. RNAcentral describes it as "partial contains small subunit ribosomal RNA, internal transcribed spacer 1, and 5.8S ribosomal RNA". The record is from RNAcentral.
UUUCCGUAGGUGAACCUGCGGAAGGGUCAUUCAUAAUAAAGUGUUUUAUGGCACUUUUUAAAAAUCCAUAUCCACCUUGUGUGCAAUGUUAGAUCUCGUCAAUCUUGGCGAGAUUUUUAUACAUCAACUCAUUCUUUAACUAAUUUGUCUGAAAAAUAUUAUGAAUACUUAAUUCAAAGUACAACUUUCAACAACGGAUCUCUUGGCUCUC